This 665-nucleotide ribosomal RNA is filed under the name uncultured Photobacterium sp. RNAcentral describes it as "bacterial SSU rRNA". It matches the Rfam family "Bacterial small subunit ribosomal RNA", at positions 61 to 692 of the family's 1533-position model. Lineage: Bacteria; Pseudomonadati; Pseudomonadota; Gammaproteobacteria; Vibrionales; Vibrionaceae. The record is from RNAcentral.
GUCGAGCGGCAGCGACUUAACUGAACCUUCGGGGAACGUUAAGGGCGGCGAGCGGCGGACGGGUGAGUAAUGCCUGGGAAUAUGCCCUGAUGUGGGGGAUAACUAUUGGAAACGAUAGCUAAUACCGCAUAAUCUCCGAUCUUUUACGAGAUGGGAGCAAAGAGGGGGACCUUCGGGCCUCUCGCGUCAGGAUUAGCCCAGGUGGGAUUAGCUUGUUGGUGAGGUAAUGGCUCACCAAGGCAACGAUCCCUAGCUGGUCUGAGAGGAUGAUCAGCCACACUGGAACUGAGACACGGUCCAGACUCCUACGGGAGGCAGCAGUGGGGAAUAUUGCACAAUGGGGGAAACCCUGAUGCAGCCAUGCCGCGUGUGUGAAGAAGGCCUUCGGGUUGUAAAGCACUUUCAGUAGGGAGGAAGGUAGUGUAGUUAACACCUGCAUUAUUUGACGUUACCUACAGAAGAAGCACCGGCUAACUCCGUGCCAGCAGCCGCGGUAAUACGGAGGGUGCGAGCGUCAAUCGGAAUUACUGGGCGUAAAGCGCAUGCAGGCGGCCUGUUAAGUCAGAUGUGAAAGCCCGGGGCUUAACCUCGGAAUUGCAUUUGAAACUGGCAGCUAGAGUCUUGUAGAGGGGGGUAGAAUUUCAGGUGUAGCGGUGAAAUGCGUA